This is a long non-coding RNA of Manduca sexta (tobacco hornworm), 1228 nucleotides long. RefSeq lists it as uncharacterized. The transcript is spliced from 2 exons. The record is from RefSeq and is a predicted model, not a curated record. NCBI's taxonomy places the organism in Eukaryota, Metazoa, Arthropoda, Insecta, Lepidoptera, Sphingidae.
CAGCGCUGCGCCGCGCGCCUUAUCAUCGAUGCCUUGCCGAUUGGUGGAGUGAAGUGUUUGCGCGACUGAUACCGCCCGCGGGGGCCAAUCGAUUCCCUGUUUCGUCGAAUCUUAUCAAAAUCAUGGUGGACGUUCGUACCUCGUGUCGGUUCCCUGAUAUCGUAUCUAAAGAUAUCGACGAAAGUAUAAAUAUGAGCCCAUCGAUCGAUCGGCUCUCUAUCGAAGUGCAAGCUGUGAUCGCUGUUCAUGUGGGGUGAGUCGCGCGUGCGUUAUUGGACUGUUUGAAAUCUCACCGGCAGCUUCAACUCCUCAGGGUAGCUGCUACUGAGUCUCCAACCUACGUAGAGCCGAUCCUGGUCGUUGACAGCGUGCGGAAAUUCUUACUCAGGGACACAAGGUGGAAAUUAUACGAUGUACUACGCGUCCAGUAAUAUUACAGGCCUCACGUCUGAGUUGGACAGGGGAUCUUGACAGUUUAAUGUCACUUGCUGCCAGAUCUAUCUUUCCAGCUCACGCGUGAGGCCGCCCCACGCCACCAGGAAGAAUCUAUCAACUCGUAAAGCACAUCCCAGCGACUAAAAUGAAGAUGUGAGCGUACCAGAUUAAGUGGAGGUGUGAUCUCUUCACUUUUUAUGUUUAAAGUGAGAUUCAACUCCUCCAACUUAACCCUGAAUCGCAAUUUCUGCGCACUCCUGAAGAAGACUCUGACGUAAUGAUUUCUUAUGUUUACGUGAAUGUUAAACAUUGAAAUAAAACUAUUUUGCGGAUUUUAUUGCGGUUUUUACAUUAUAAUUUUCUAUUCUAUUUCUAGACAAAGUUAUUUACCUACAUUUUACAGUUAUACAAUAUUGAAAAAUGUAGGUAGUUAUUAUAACUUUGACUUCUUGGAUGACCAACAUCACAGUUCGCCCUUAAACCAUGAAGACUGCAAAGUCUUCGAAACGUAGGAAGAAAAUUAUAAUUUAAAACCGCGAUAAAAUCUGCAAAAUAGUUUUAUUCAAAGAUCUUGAUGCUUCAUCUGUAGAAAUAUUUAAUUUUGUACUUUCAUAAAAUUUUAUGUCAUAAAUAAUAAUGUACCUAUCUCUCGAAAUAAUACAUAAUGUAUGAUGUUACAAUAUAAAAUGUUACAAUUCACAUUAUAACCAUUCAUAUUAUACCUUCCCUACAUCAAAUACUGUUGUGUUUUUAUUGUAAAAAUGAUUUAUUAUAAUAUAACUAUGGCUGAUAA